CGGACGGGUGAGUAACACGUGGAUAACCUACCUAUAAGACUGGGAUAACUUCGGUAAACCGGAGCUAAUACCGGAUAAUAUAUUGAACCGCAUGGUUCAAUAGUGAAAGACGGUUUUGCUGUCACUUAUAGAUGGAUCCGCGCCGCAUUAGCUAGUUGGUAAGGUAACGGCUUACCAAGGCAACGAUGCGUAGCCGACCUGAGAGGGUGAUCGGCCACACUGGAACUGAGACACGGUCCAG
RNAcentral lists this ribosomal RNA (241 nucleotides) under uncultured Staphylococcus sp. Its description in RNAcentral is "partial 16S ribosomal RNA". It matches the Rfam family "Bacterial small subunit ribosomal RNA", at positions 99 to 334 of the family's 1533-position model. Lineage: Bacteria; Bacillati; Bacillota; Bacilli; Caryophanales; Staphylococcaceae. The record is from RNAcentral.